CAUGUCUUUUUGAAUUAUAAUUUAAAGUCUAAUCUGCCCACUGAUUAUUAUUAAAUGGCCGCAGUAUACUAACUGUGCAAAGGUAGCGUGAUAAUUAGUUUUUUUAUUGAAAGCUGGUAUGAAUGAUUGGACAAGGAAAAUACUGUCUUAAUCUAAUUUUUAGAAUUUUAUUUUUAAGUUAAAAAGCUUAAAUAAUUUCAUGGGACGAGAAGACCCUAUAGAGUUUUAUAUUUAAUAAUGUUUUUUAGUAAUAUUUAUUUAUUGAUUAAGUAUUUAGUUGGGGUGAUUUAAAAAUUUAUUAAACUUUUUAUUUUAAAAACAUUGAUUUUUGAAUAAUUGAUCUAUUAUUAUAAUUGUAAGAUUAAAUUACCUUAGGGAUAACAGCGUUAUUUCUUUUAGAGUUCUUAUUUAAUUAGAAGUUUGCGACCUCGAUGUUGGAUUAAAAUGAAUUAUUGGUGCAGUAGCUAAUAAAGAUUAAGUCUGUUCGACUUUUAAAAUUUUACAUGAUCUGAGU
Molecule: ribosomal RNA, 514 nt
Filed under: Isorhipis marmottani
Lineage: Eukaryota; Metazoa; Arthropoda; Insecta; Coleoptera; Eucnemidae
Description: partial 16S ribosomal RNA
Rfam family: Archaeal large subunit ribosomal RNA (bases 377-514)
Source: RNAcentral